GACGAACGCUGGCGGCGUGCUUAACACAUGCAAGUCGAACGAAGAGCGAUGGAAGCUUGCUUCUAUCAAUCUUAGUGGCGAACGGGUGAGUAACGCGUAAUCAACCUGCCCUUCAGAGGGGGACAACAGUUGGAAACGACUGCUAAUACCGCAUACGAUCUAAUCUCGGCAUCGAGGAUAGAUGAAAGGUGGCCUCUACAUGUAAGCUAUCACUGAAGGAGGGGAUUGCGUCUGAUUAGCUAGUUGGAGGGGUAACGGCCCACCAAGGCGAUGAUCAGUAGCCGGUCUGGGAGGGUGGACGGCCACAUUGGGACUGGGACACGGCCCAGACUCCUACGGGAGGCAGCAGUGGGGAAUCUUCCGCAAUGGACGAAAGUCUGACGGAGCAACGCCGCGUGAGUGAUGACGGCCUUCGGGUUGUAAAGCUCUGUUAAUCGGGACGAAAGGCCUUCUUGCGAAUAGUGAGAAGGAUUGACGGUACCGGAAUAGAAAGCCACGGCUAACUACGUG
RNAcentral lists this ribosomal RNA (510 nucleotides) under uncultured bacterium. RNAcentral's name for it is "partial 16S ribosomal RNA". It matches the Rfam family "Bacterial small subunit ribosomal RNA", at positions 28 to 507 of the family's 1533-position model. The record is from RNAcentral.